CGGAAAGCCUGACGCAGCGACGCCGCGUGAGGGAAGAAGGCCUUCGGGUUGUAAACCUCUUUCAGGAGGGACGAAGCCACUCGGGUUAAUACCCCAGAGGGUGACGGUACCUCCAGAAGAAGCCCCGGCUAACUACGUGCCAGCAGCCGCGGUAAUACGUAGGGGGCAAGCGUUGUCCGGAAUCAUUGGGCGUAAAGCGCGUGUAGGCGGCCAGAUAAGUCCGCUGUGAAAUCUCGAGGCUCAACUUCGAGCUGUCGGUGGAAACUGUCUGGCUAGAGUCCGGAAGAGGAGAAUGGAAUUCCUGGUGUAGCGGUGAAAUGCGCAGAUAUCAGGAAGAACACCCGUGGCGAAGGCGGUUCUCUGGGACGGUACUGACGCUGAGACGCGAAAGCGUGGGGAGCGAACAGGAUUAGAUACCCUGGUAGUCCACGCCGUAAACGAUGGGAACUAGGUGUGGGCGGUGUCGACUCCGUCCGUGCCGAAGCUAACGCAUUAAGUUCCCCGCCUGGGGAGUACGGCCGCAAGGCUA
Molecule: ribosomal RNA, 529 nt
Filed under: uncultured Actinomycetes bacterium
Lineage: Bacteria; Bacillati; Actinomycetota; Actinomycetes
Description: bacterial SSU rRNA
Rfam family: Bacterial small subunit ribosomal RNA
Source: RNAcentral